GGAACAUCACACGCUGGGGCUGUCGGGAGGUGGGGGACUGGAGGAAGAAUAGCAUUCGGAGAAAUACCUAAUGUAGAUGACGGGUUGAUGUGUGCAGCAAACCACCAUGGCACAUGUAUACCUAUGUAACAAACCUGCACAUUCUGCACAUGUAUCCCAGAACUAUUCUGCACAUGUAUCCCAGAACUUAAAGUAAAAAAACAAACAAACAAAUAAGCAAAACAAAGAAACAAGCACAGGCACUGUGGACCACGGAGGUUUCCAGCUGGUGAAGUGACACCCUAAGUGUCCUGUGACUGUUUUGAUGUUGUAGGCACCAUGACAACAGUUUAACAUGUAUGAUCUUAUUGAAUCCUCACAUUAAAACUGCUGUGAUCUGUCCGUAGUCCCGUUUUAUAGAUGAGAGACCUGAGCUUUACAGAGGAUAAGCAAGUUUCCCAAGGUCACACAUUGGAAAAUGGCAGAGUUGGAAUUUGACCUAAAAAUGUUAGACACUCACCUGUUAGUGGUCAAAGUGGUGUGAGCCUGUAAUUCCCACUACAUGAGGCUGAGGUGGGAGGAUCACUUGAGCUCAGGAGUUUGAGGCUACAGUGAGCUGUGAUUGAGCUGCUGCACUCCAGCCUGGGUGACAGAGUGAAACUUUGUCUCGGCAGAAAAAAAAAAAAAAAAGAAAAAGAAAAUAUCAGAGACUCACAUGCUGGACAUCUAACCUCAAGGAAACAUUCCCUCACUGUCCCUCAGAUGGACUGACCAUGACCUCCCAAAAGCAAAGAGGAGACCAGGAAAAGGUUCAGCAUGGCUCAUGUUGUUAUCCUGAUGAUUUCUUUUAAUUUUGCUUUUAGAAAAUCAAAGGAAUUACAAAACUUCAGCUUUGUGAUAUGUUUGUGCCUGAGACUGGAGGAAGGAAAGGGAAGUGUACCACUCCAUUGUGGACCACCAUUCCACUUAUGGACCACUUAAAAUGGACUGCACUAAUUCCAGGCAUACUACACUGUUUACUAAAAUUAAAAGAAAGAUGGUGGACUAGAAGCAGCUCAUGUGUGUUACUCUCAUAGAGAGAAAACAAAAGGGCAAAUGAACACUGACUCUGCAGGUGGAUCAUCUGAGAAAUCACACUGGGAUCCAUCAAGGCAGAAAGGGGACACGG
Molecule: long non-coding RNA, 1147 nt
Filed under: Macaca mulatta (Rhesus monkey)
Lineage: Eukaryota; Metazoa; Chordata; Mammalia; Primates; Cercopithecidae
Description: lncRNA (ENSMMUG00000057858.1)
Source: RNAcentral